CGGGACAAAGCGGAAGCUUCUCCAAGGCUGCAGCUGCACCACUCCACGCACGCCAGACGCCACUCUCUUCUGCCACAACAAGCAGCUCGGGCGCAACAGAACAAAUCGGCCCAGCAAGAGACAAUGGCCCGCACGACGGCGCCGGCCGCGGGCUACGGGGCGGACGGAGUGUACCGCUCCCCGCGCCCGGCCGUGCGCAUCGAGUCCGACCCGGGCCUCUCCCUCAACGACCUCCUCUUCCGCCGCGCCGACGCGUGCCCCUCCGCCCUCGCGCUGGUCGACUCCGCCACCGGCCAAUCCCUCACCUUCGCCGCCUUUCGCUCCGCCGUCCUCACCACGGCCGUCGCGCUCUCCUCGCGCGCGGGCGUCCGACGCGGCGAUGUCGUCCUCUUCUUCGCCCCCAACUGCUUCCUCUACCCCGUCUGCUUCUUCGCCGUCACCGCCCUCGGCGCCGUCGCUACCACUGCCAACCCCCUCUAUACCCCUCGGGAGGUCGCCAAGCAGGCCACCGACUCGCGCGCCAAGCUCGCAAUCACAGUCUCUGAACUCCUUCCCAAAAUCGUGGACCUCCGCCUCCCCACCAUCCUGCUCGACGUCGACGGCGGCGCGGCCAGUGUCACCGCCUCCAAGCCUCAGGGCGCCAGCGUCACGCUCUACUCAGACCUCAUUUCUGGGGUGCGGGAGACGGAGUACCGCCGCCCGCCGACGAAGCAGAGCGAUACGGCCGCGCUGCUGUACUCGUCCGGCACGACGGGGGCGAGCAAGGGCGUAAUCCUGACGCACCGCAACUUCAUCUCGGCGGCGGCCAUGAUGACAGCGGACCAGGACGAGCUCGGAGAGGGGCCCAACGUCUUCCUCUGCUUCCUGCCCAUGUUCCACAUCUUCGGCUUGUCCGUCCUCACGUUCGCGCAGAUGCAGCGUGGCAACUCCGUCGUCGUGAUGUCACGGUUUGACAUGGACUCUGUGAUGGCCGCCGUGCAGCGGCACCGUGUCACUCACCUCUUCUGCGUGCCGCCGGUCAUGAUAGCGCUCGCCAAGCUCGGGAGUGUCGGGAAAUACGACCUCAGCUCGCUCAGGUUCAUCGGCUCGGGCGCAGCGCCGCUCGGCAAGGACGUGAUGGAGGGCGUGGCCAAGAACUUUCCAGAAGCCGUGAUUGCCCAGGGUUAUGGAAUGACUGAAACUUGUGGAAUCAUAUCUUUAGAGUACCCAGAAAAAGGACAAGUUCGUCAAUUUGGGUCAACUGGAGCACUUGUCUCGGGAGUUGAAGCAAAAAUUGUUGAUGUAGAAACAUUGAAAUGUCUGCCGCCAAAUCAACUAGGAGAAAUUUGUGUUCGAGGACUGAACAUAAUGCAAGGAUAUUUCAACAAUGUGCAAGCUACUGAAUUUACAAUCAAGCAAGGGUGGUUGCAUACUGGUGAUAUUGGAUACUUUGAUGAAGGAGGUCAGCUUUUUGUAGUUGAUAGACUUAAAGAACUGAUUAAGUACAAAGGUUUUCAGAUUGCACCCGCUGAGCUUGAAGGGCUACUUCUGUCUCAUCCAGAAAUUCUGGAUGCUGUUGUUAUCCCAUAUACUUGCUCCCAAGGUUCCCCGAUGCUGAAGCUGGGGAAGUUCCUAUUGCCUACGUCGUAAGGUCCCCUGUGAGUUCUUUGACUGAAGUUGAUGUCCAGAAAUUUAUUGAAAAGCAGGUCGCAUACUACAAAAAAUUGAGGAGGGUUACCUUUGUGGACAGCGUACCAAAAUCUGCUUCAGGAAAGAUUUUGAGAAGAGAACUGAUCGCUAAAGUCAGAUCGUCCAAGCUAUAGCAAACCAGCUUCUGUUUCGUAAGACUGCUUGCCUCCUAUCUACUCCCUCCAUUCCAAAUUGGAAUUUAUUCUGCCUUCUUAGAUACAUAGUUUUUUCUAUGCAUCUAGAUAUACAAUAUGUCUAAAUACAUAGUAAAACGAAGUAUCUAGAGAAGCUAGAACGACUUACAAUUUGGAAAAGAGGGAGUACUAGAUUGGAAAUUUGUCAAUUGAGCGUAAAGGUUUACCUGUUGCUGAACAGAGCUUAUCAAGCAAAACAUUCAGUUUGACACAUCAGACAUUGCGCGUGUAUAUCAUCAUAUAUGUGAGACAUAUAUGCUCCAGUUGGCCCCAAUCCCAGUAGCCAUACAUGGCAGUGUUGUGUCACUUGUAUCGAAUAUUGGGUCUGAUUUACAUACACCACAUAUUUCAUCUAUAUAAGUCGACGUUCUUGGUCCAUAGUCCAUACAGACAGUUGUAUCAAGAAAUAUUGUCUGGUAGUUUGUGUAGCCAGCGCACUACCUGUGGGACUGUGGCUGACUGUUAGCCGUGAGCGCACUAUCUGUGCCUGUUAGCCAUUCACCCAUCAUCCCAUCCCAUCCUCACUUCUCUAUAAAUGUUUAUUUUGUUGUGAAGGUCCAAAGACCUGUUUUAUCUA
Molecule: RNA transcript, 2439 nt
Organism: Sorghum bicolor (sorghum)
Lineage: Eukaryota; Viridiplantae; Streptophyta; Magnoliopsida; Poales; Poaceae
Gene name: 4-coumarate--CoA ligase-like 1
Exons: 6
Source: RefSeq, a predicted model, not a curated record